UGGGGAAUUUUGGACAAUGGGCGCAAGCCUGAUCCAGCCAUUCCGCGUGCAGGAUGAAGGCCCUCGGGUUGUAAACUGCUUUUGUACGGAACGAAACGGCGCUUGUUAAUACCAGGCGCUAAUGACGGUACCGUAAGAAUAAGCACCGGCUAACUACGUGCCAGCAGCCGCGGUAAUACGUAGGGUGCGAGCGUUAAUCGGAAUUACUGGGCGUAAAGCGUGCGCAGGGCGGGUGAUGUAAGACAGAUGUGAAAUCCCCGGGCUCAACCUGGGAACUGCAUUUGUGACUGCAUCGCUGGAGUGCGGCAGAGGGGGAUGGAAUUCCGCGUGUAGCAGUGAAAUGCGUAGAUAUGCGGAGGAACACCGAUGGCGAAGGCAAUCCCCUGGGCCUGCACUGACGCUCAUGCACGAAAGCGUGGGGAGCAAACAGGAUUAGAUACCCUGGUAGUCCACGCCCUAAACGAUGUCAACUGGUUGUUGGUCCUUCACUGGAUCA
This 496-nucleotide ribosomal RNA is filed under the name uncultured bacterium. RNAcentral's name for it is "bacterial SSU rRNA". It matches the Rfam family "Bacterial small subunit ribosomal RNA", at positions 355 to 842 of the family's 1533-position model. The record is from RNAcentral.